This 611-nucleotide ribosomal RNA is filed under the name fungal sp. KPR76. Its description in RNAcentral is "eukaryotic LSU rRNA". The stretch from base 242 to 398 matches the Rfam family "5.8S ribosomal RNA". The record is from RNAcentral. Lineage: Eukaryota; Fungi.
GUUGGUGAACCAGCGGAGGGAUCAUUAGAGGGUCGCGAGGCCUCCUAAUCUCUUCAACCAACCCGCGUACCACCCGAGGGGGCCCGCAAGGGCCACUACAAGACUGCCUCGGUCGGCGGCCCCAGGGGGGGCCUCUGCCCGCGUCCGGCGCGUGAUUGCCCGGCGCGGGUGCCGGCCGGUGGCCCAAACCAAAACUACCGUAUAAUACCUAUUACCUUCUGAAGAAAUGAUAAAUCAUUACAACCUGCAACGAUGGAUCUCUUGGCUCUGGCAUCGAUGAAGAACGCAGCGAAAUGCGAUACGUAAUGUGAAUUGCAGAUCUCUCAGUGAACCAUCGAAUUUUUGAACGCACAUAGCGCCCGCCGGUCAUUCCGGCGGGCAUGCCUGUCCGAGCGUCGAUGACGCCGCUCGAGCCCCCGUGCUCGGUGUUGGGGCGCUAGGUCUCCCAGAGGCCUAGGCCCCCAAGUAGCAGUGCGCGGUCCGGCUGCGGGCCCCGGGUAGAGUAACUUCACUGUUGAGAUGCCCUGGGACUCGCUGGCCGGGUCAGCCGUAAAACCCCCGCAUGGGCCUCCCCCAACCCGCCCGCGGCCACCCCAGACCGCCUAAUUGAC